This 258-nucleotide long non-coding RNA is filed under the name Elaeis guineensis (African oil palm). RNAcentral describes it as "long non-coding RNA (EGUI_LNC066041)". The record is from RNAcentral. Lineage: Eukaryota; Viridiplantae; Streptophyta; Magnoliopsida; Arecales; Arecaceae.
CUCCUGUGCACGGCUGCCGGCGAUGAGUAUCGCCGAUCUUUCGGUCGGGAAAGACGCCCUGUUUUUGGGCCUUUUUCCUUGGAUUUUCCGACACCGACGAUCGGAAGUGAUCGCCGGCCAUGUCUCCUCCAUGACCGGGGGAGUGGCCCCCGUCGGCCGUCGGCCUCCACCGCGGCGGCCGUGGCCCGAACGGCUGGUCAAGGCCGGAGGACUAUCGUCCUCUGUUCCGGCACGGGAAGAACCAAGAAAAGAAGAAAA